UGGAUUGAAUGCAGAGCCGCAGCCAUCUAAAAGGAGGAUUUGGGGGGAGCAUGGAGUAGAAAAUGAGGAAGGGGCAGGAUAUGACAGGGGAGACAAUAAAAAGGUCAACACAGCUCCCACCUCGAAGCAGCUGCCAGUUUAUUACAUGAAGUGUCAGGCUGUGGACUGCAGGCAUGCCAUUUUGUCUUCAAGAACAGGAUUCCCGGGCACACGAAUGAUUCCAGGGUUCCUCCAGCA
RNAcentral lists this long non-coding RNA (237 nucleotides) under Homo sapiens (human). RNAcentral's name for it is "HSALNT0193505". Lineage: Eukaryota; Metazoa; Chordata; Mammalia; Primates; Hominidae. The record is from RNAcentral.